AGGUCACCUCAAAGAGGGCUCAUGGGGCUGUGAAGCCAAGAGUUGUAACACUGACCAAAGACUGGAGUUCUCACUGGAUGCCAGUCACUCAACAGUGCCAUUUUCCUGAGGAAAUGGGAGA
Molecule: small nucleolar RNA, 121 nt
Organism: Ursus americanus (American black bear)
Lineage: Eukaryota; Metazoa; Chordata; Mammalia; Carnivora; Ursidae
Source: Ensembl